CUACGGGUUGCACCAGUGAGGAAUAUUGGUCAAUGGGCGAAAGCCUGAACCAGCCAUGCCGCGUGAAGGAUGACGGCCCUAUGGGUUGUAAACUUCUUUUAUACGGGGAGAAACACCUCUACGUGUAGAGGUUUGACGGUACCGUACGAAUAAGCAUCGGCUAACUCCGUGCCAGCAGCCGCGGUAAUACGGAGGAUGCAAGCGUUAUCCGGAUUUAUUGGGUUUAAAGGGUACGUAGGCGGAAACUUAAGUCAGUAGUGAAAUCCCGCAGCUUAACUGUGGAACUGUUAUUGAUACUGGGUUUCUUGAAUAUUGUUGAGGUAGGCGGAAUAAGUAAUGUAGCGGUGAAAUGCUUAGAUAUUACUUAGAACACCGAUUGCGAAGGCAGCUUACUAAGCAAUUAUUGACGCUGAGGUACGAAAGCGUGGGGAGCGAACAGGAUUAGAUACCCUUGUAGUC
This 459-nucleotide ribosomal RNA is filed under the name uncultured bacterium. Its description in RNAcentral is "partial 16S ribosomal RNA". It matches the Rfam family "Bacterial small subunit ribosomal RNA", at positions 339 to 795 of the family's 1533-position model. The record is from RNAcentral.